Molecule: ribosomal RNA, 159 nt
Filed under: Ctenophora environmental sample
Lineage: Eukaryota; Metazoa; Ctenophora
Description: partial Bacterial small subunit ribosomal RNA
Rfam family: Bacterial small subunit ribosomal RNA
Source: RNAcentral
GGGUCUUGUACACACUGCCCGUCACACCACGAAAGUUCUUUGUGCCUGAAGUUGUUUGUUCGACCGCUUGCGGAGAACGGCACCUAGGGUGUGGGGAAUGAUUGGGGUUAAGUCGUAACAAGGUAGCUGUACCGGAAGGUGCGGCUGGAUCACCUCCUU